Molecule: long non-coding RNA, 762 nt
Organism: Nematostella vectensis (starlet sea anemone)
Lineage: Eukaryota; Metazoa; Cnidaria; Anthozoa; Actiniaria; Edwardsiidae
Exons: 2
Source: RefSeq, a predicted model, not a curated record
UUUGGAAUUAUAGGAUUCAAUUUGAUUCAAUGCUUUUAUUGUUCACGUAGGAACUGUUUUAACAUCAUUCACUCUGGCUGAUUCUAUUGAACCAUAGCUAACGGUUUCUUGGUUUCUCUCCACGCCCAAGAGGACGCGGUCUUCGCAUGCCCUCGUCUAGAGUCCAGCCAGAAAAGACGCGUAAACCUGUUUGGAGAAUUGUCCAACUGAAGUCUGUUUAUUUUUAAUCUUUGAUCCCUAAGAAACCGUAAGAAUUAACGGCAGGUUUCCAGGAUACAGUUUGAAUUUGUGCACUCGAAUUAUGAGAAUGAUGCCGAAAAUCCCUUCAAUUUCUCUGUAAUAAAUUUAAAAGUGAAGAGACUAUAUAUCACGAAAAGUUCUAAAUACUGCUUGAUGGCAUAUUAUCGGCAAACAAGACGUAAAAAAUGAUAUAAGAAAAAAAACGAAAAUAAAAAUAAAAAUACAUCAGACGUUUGAAGUGGAAAAAAGGAAGGUUCUUAAUGAAGAGGACGCCACAAUUGUCAUAGAAACCUUGGAUGAAGCCAUUCCCGUCGCCACGCUUAAGAACAAGUGCCCUUUGUGGACUUAACAGCGGUUUGAAAUUUGACCCGCUAUUUGGCGAGGGUGGCACACUUACAAUAAAAUCAUCCAAUAUCAUCUCCAAUUUAUGGAGAAACUAGUUCUACAAUGACACAAUGUAUAAAUUAAUGGAGAACUUUAAUAUUUUUAUAUGAAAUAAUAAAAAAUAACGAGGACAAGUAA